RNAcentral lists this ribosomal RNA (2917 nucleotides) under Shewanella chilikensis. RNAcentral describes it as "23S ribosomal RNA". It matches the Rfam family "Bacterial large subunit ribosomal RNA". Lineage: Bacteria; Pseudomonadati; Pseudomonadota; Gammaproteobacteria; Alteromonadales; Shewanellaceae. The record is from RNAcentral.
GUUGUAUGGUUAAGCGACCAAGCGUAUACGGUGGAUGCCUUGGCAGUCAGAGGCGAUGAAGGACGUAGUAACUUGCGAAAAGCGUUGGUGAGCUAGUAACAAGCAUUUGAGCCAGCGAUGUCCGAAUGGGGAAACCCGGCAGCAUAAGCUGUCAUCAAUACGUGAAUACAUAGCGUAUUGAGGCGAACGAGGGGAACUGAAACAUCUAAGUACCCUCAGGAAAAGAAAUCAACCGAGAUUCCCCAAGUAGCGGCGAGCGAACGGGGAUUAGCCCUUAAGUCUUUGGGGUGUUAGUGGAAUGUGUUGGAAAGCACAGCGGCACAGGGUGAUAGCCCCGUACACGUAAACUAACCAGAGAUGAAAUCGAGUAAGGCGGCACACGUGACAUGUUGUCUGAAUAUGGGGGGACCAUCCUCCAAGGCUAAAUACUCCUGACUGACCGAUAGUGAACCAGUACCGUGAGGGAAAGGCGAAAAGAACCCCUGUGAGGGGAGUGAAAUAGAACCUGAAACCGUAUACGUACAAGCAGUGGAAGCGGUCCUUGAGACCGUGACUGCGUACCUUUUGUAUAAUGGGUCAGCGACUUACAUUUAGUAGCGAGGUUAAGCGAAUAGCGGAGCCGUAGGGAAACCGAGUGUUAACUGCGCGUUUAGUUGCUAGGUGUAGACCCGAAACCCGGUGAUCUAGCCAUGGGCAGGUUGAAGGUUGAGUAACAUCAACUGGAGGACCGAACCGACUAAUGUUGAAAAAUUAGCGGAUGACUUGUGGCUGGGGGUGAAAGGCCAAUCAAACCGGGAGAUAUCUGGUUCUCCUCGAAAGCUAUUUAGGUAGCGCCUCGGACGAACACCUUUGGGGGUAGAGCACUGUUAAGGCUAGGGGGUCAUCCCGACUUACCAACCCUUUGCAAACUCCGAAUACCAAAGAGUGCUAUCCGGGAGACAGACGGCGGGUGCUAACGUCCGUCGUCAAAAGGGAAACAACCCAGACCGUCAGCUAAGGUCCCAAAGUAAUUGCUAAGUGGGAAACGAUGUGGGAAGGCUUAGACAGCUAGGAUGUUGGCUUAGAAGCAGCCAUCAUUUAAAGAAAGCGUAAUAGCUCACUAGUCGAGUCGGCCUGCGCGGAAGAUGUAACGGGGCUAAGCAAUUCACCGAAGCUACGGGUACUGAUGCUUGCAUCAGUGCGGUAGAGGAGCGUUCUGUAAGCCGUUGAAGGCGAAGGGGUAACCCACGCUGGAGGUAUCAGAAGUGCGAAUGCUGACAUGAGUAACGAUAAAGGGGGUGAAAAACCCCCUCGCCGAAAGACCAAGGGUUCCUGUCCAACGUUAAUCGGGGCAGGGUGAGUCGACCCCUAAGGCGAGGCUGAAAGGCGUAGUCGAUGGGAAACGGGUUAAUAUUCCCGUACUUCUGCUAACUGCGAUGGAGAGACGGAGAAGGCUAGGCCAGCGCGGCGUUGGUUGUCCGCGUUUAAGGUAGUAGGUGGUGUGCUUAGGCAAAUCCGGGCACACAUACACUGAGAGCUGAUGACGAGUCCCUACGGGGAUGAAGUGGUUGAUGCCAUGCUUCCAGGAAAAUCUUCUAAGCUUCAGGUUAGUAGAAAUCGUACCCCAAACCGACACAGGUGGUCGGGUAGAGAAUACCAAGGCGCUUGAGAGAACUCGGCUGAAGGAACUAGGCAAAAUGGUACCGUAACUUCGGGAGAAGGUACGCUGCCGGCGGUGAAGACCUCGCGUCGUAAGCUGCUGGCAGUCGCAGAUACCAGGUGGCUGCAACUGUUUAUCAAAAACACAGCACUGUGCAAAAUCGCAAGAUGACGUAUACGGUGUGACGCCUGCCCGGUGCCGGAAGGUUAAUUGAUUGGGUUAUCUUCGGAGAAGCUCAUGAUCGAAGCCCCGGUAAACGGCGGCCGUAACUAUAACGGUCCUAAGGUAGCGAAAUUCCUUGUCGGGUAAGUUCCGACCUGCACGAAUGGCGUAAUGAUGGCCACGCUGUCUCCAGCCGAGACUCAGUGAAGUUGAAAUUGCGGUGAAGAUGCCGUAUACCCGCGGCUAGACGGAAAGACCCCGUGAACCUUUACUAUAGCUUGGCACUGAACAUUGACCCUACAUGUGUAGGAUAGGUGGGAGACUAUGAAGAUGAGACGCCAGUCUUGUUGGAGUCAACCUUGAAAUACCACCCUUGUAGUGUUGAUGUUCUAACCUUGGUCCCUUAUCGGGAUUAGGGACAGUGCCUGGUGGGUAGUUUGACUGGGGCGGUCUCCUCCCAAAGAGUAACGGAGGAGCACGAAGGUUGGCUAAGUACGGUCGGACAUCGUACGGUUAGUGCAAUGGCAUAAGCCAGCUUAACUGCGAGACAGACACGUCGAGCAGAUGCGAAAGCAGGUCAUAGUGAUCCGGUGGUUCUGAAUGGAAGGGCCAUCGCUCAACGGAUAAAAGGUACUCCGGGGAUAACAGGCUGAUACCGCCCAAGAGUUCAUAUCGACGGCGGUGUUUGGCACCUCGAUGUCGGCUCAUCACAUCCUGGGGCUGAAGUCGGUCCCAAGGGUAUGGCUGUUCGCCAUUUAAAGUGGUACGCGAGCUGGGUUCAGAACGUCGUGAGACAGUUCGGUCCCUAUCUGCCGUGGGCGUUGGAUGAUUGAGGGGAGCUGCUCCUAGUACGAGAGGACCGGAGUGGACGAACCGCUGGUGUUCGGGUUGUCAUGCCAAUGGCAUUGCCCGGUAGCUACGUUCGGAAUCGAUAACCGCUGAAAGCAUCUAAGCGGGAAGCGAGCCCCAAGAUGAGUCAUCCCUAGGUCCUAGAGACCUCUGAAGAGCCGUUCGAGACCAGGACGUUGAUAGGCAGGGUGUGUAAGCGUUGCGAGGCGUUGAGCUAACCUGUACUAAUGACUCGAGAGGCUUAACCAUACAACCCAGAUGGGUUUU